RNAcentral lists this transfer RNA (72 nucleotides) under Camelus bactrianus (Bactrian camel). It matches the Rfam family "tRNA". From Rfam's summary of the family: Transfer RNA (tRNA) molecules are approximately 80 nucleotides in length. Their secondary structure includes four short double-helical elements and three loops (D, anti-codon, and T loops). RNAcentral also lists the same sequence under 2 other names. The record is from Rfam by way of RNAcentral. Lineage: Eukaryota; Metazoa; Chordata; Mammalia; Artiodactyla; Camelidae.
GAGGGUAGAGCUCAGUGGUAGAGCACUUGCCUAGCAUGCAUGAGGUCCUGGGUUCAUUCCCCAGUACCUCCU